Molecule: ribosomal RNA, 688 nt
Filed under: uncultured Pseudomonadales bacterium
Lineage: Bacteria; Pseudomonadati; Pseudomonadota; Gammaproteobacteria; Pseudomonadales
Description: bacterial SSU rRNA
Rfam family: Bacterial small subunit ribosomal RNA
Source: RNAcentral
GCAGGCCUAACACAUGCAAGUCGAGCGGAUGAGAAGAGCUUGCUCUUCGAUUCAGCGGCGGACGGGUGAGUAAUGCCUAGGAAUCUGCCUGGUAGUGGGGGACAACGUUUCGAAAGGAACGCUAAUACCGCAUACGUCCUACGGGAGAAAGCAGGGGACCUUCGGGCCUUGCGCUAUCAGAUGAGCCUAGGUCGGAUUAGCUAGUUGGUGAGGUAAUGGCUCACCAAGGCGACGAUCCGUAACUGGUCUGAGAGGAUGAUCAGUCACACUGGAACUGAGACACGGUCCAGACUCCUACGGGAGGCAGCAGUGGGGAAUAUUGGACAAUGGGCGAAAGCCUGAUCCAGCCAUGCCGCGUGUGUGAAGAAGGUCUUCGGAUUGUAAAGCACUUUAAGUUGGGAGGAAGGGCAUUAACCUAAUACGUUAGUGUUUUGACGUUACCGACAGAAUAAGCACCGGCUAACUCUGUGCCAGCAGCCGCGGUAAUACAGAGGGUGCAAGCGUUAAUCGGAAUUACUGGGCGUAAAGCGCGCGUAGGUGGUUUGUUAAGUUGAAUGUGAAAGCCCCGGGCUCAACCUGGGAACUGCAUCCAAAACUGGCAAGCUAGAGUACGGUAGAGGGUGGUGGAAUUUCCUGUGUAGCGGUGAAAUGCGUAGAUAUAGGAAGGAACACCAGUGGCGAAGGCGAC